RNAcentral lists this ribosomal RNA (301 nucleotides) under uncultured bacterium. RNAcentral's name for it is "partial 16S ribosomal RNA". It matches the Rfam family "Bacterial small subunit ribosomal RNA", at positions 509 to 809 of the family's 1533-position model. The record is from RNAcentral.
CAGCAGCCGCGGGAAUACGGAGGGUGCAAGCGUUAAUCGGAAUUACUGGGCGUAAAGCGUGCGUAGGUGGUGGUUUAAGUCCGUUGUGAAAGCCCUGGGCUCAACCUGGGAAUUGCAGUGGAUACUGGGUCACUAGAGUGUGGUAGAGGAUAGUGGAAUUUCCGGUGUAGCAGUGAAAUGCGUAGAGAUCGGAAGGAACAUCUGUGGCGAAGGCGACUAUCUGGGCCAACACUGACACUGAGGCACGAAAGCGUGGGGAGCAAACAGGAUUAGAUACCCCUGUAGUCCCUGUCUCUUAUAA